RNAcentral lists this ribosomal RNA (765 nucleotides) under uncultured microorganism. Its description in RNAcentral is "bacterial SSU rRNA". It matches the Rfam family "Bacterial small subunit ribosomal RNA", at positions 57 to 869 of the family's 1533-position model. The record is from RNAcentral.
GCAAGUCGAACGGAUCCUUCGGGAUUAGUGGCGGACGGGUGAGUAACACGUGGGAACGUGCCUUUUGGUUCGGAACAACUCAGGGAAACUUGAGCUAAUACCGGAUAAGCCUUUCGAGGGAAAGAUUUAUCGCCAUUAGAGCGGCCCGCGUAGGAUUAGCUAGUUGGUGAGGUAAAGGCUCACCAAGGCUACGAUCCUUAGCUGGUCUGAGAGGAUGAUCAGCCACAUUGGGACUGAGACACGGCCCAAACUCCUACGGGAGGCAGCAGUGGGGAAUCUUGCGCAAUGGGCGAAAGCCUGACGCAGCCAUGCCGCGUGAAUGAUGAAGGUCUUAGGAUUGUAAAAUUCUUUCACCGGGGACGAUAAUGACGGUACCCGGAGAAGAAGCCCCGGCUAACUUCGUGCCAGCAGCCGCGGUAAUACGAAGGGGGCUAGCGUUGCUCGGAAUUACUGGGCGUAAAGGGAGCGUAGGCGGAUAGUUUAGUCAGAGGUGAAAGCCCAGGGCUCAACCUUGGAAUUGCCUUUGAUACUGGCUAUCUUGAGUACGGAAGAGGUAUGUGGAACUCCGAGUGUAGAGGUGAAAUUCGUAGAUAUUCGGAAGAACACCAGUGGCGAAGGCGACAUACUGGUCCGUUACUGACGCUGAGGCUCGAAAGCGUGGGGAGCAAACAGGAUUAGAUACCCUGGUAGUCCACGCUGUAAACGAUGAGUGCUAGUUGUCGGCAUGCAUGCAUGUCGGUGACGCAGCUAACGCAUUAAGCACUC